GCGGGAGUAGCUCAGCGGUAGAGCAUCAGCCUUCCAAGCUGAGGGUCGCGGGUUCGAAACCCGUCUCCCGCUCC
RNAcentral lists this transfer RNA (74 nucleotides) under bacterium ADurb.Bin270. RNAcentral describes it as "tRNA-Gly". It matches the Rfam family "tRNA". From Rfam's summary of the family: Transfer RNA (tRNA) molecules are approximately 80 nucleotides in length. Their secondary structure includes four short double-helical elements and three loops (D, anti-codon, and T loops). Further hydrogen bonds mediate the characteristic L-shaped molecular structure. tRNAs have two regions of fundamental functional importance: the anti-codon, which is responsible for specific mRNA codon recognition, and the 3' end, to which the tRNAs corresponding amino acid is attached (by aminoacyl-tRNA synthetases). tRNAs cope with the degeneracy of the genetic code in two manners: having more than one tRNA (with a specific anti-codon) for a particular amino acid; and 'wobble' base-pairing, i.e. permitting non-standard base-pairing at the 3rd anti-codon position. The record is from RNAcentral.